AAAAGAUUGACUUCACUGUAAAGCAUGAAGCGGUACCUCUACAGUCCAAAGAAGUGUUGGUUAUCAGAAGAAAAUGUGUACUUUUGGAGCUGCCAAUCUCCAUGGACUACCUGCUUAACCUCUAAGGAACCCUAAUUCAUGGCAUAAUUGACGAGUCCAGCAAUUUUCUGUGAAGUGUUGACAGCGAGCAGACCUUUGUUUGCAGCGAAAAAAAUGUGAUCAUCAGUACAUCGCAGAGGCCUG
Pyrgilauda ruficollis (rufous-necked snowfinch) is the source of this 243-nucleotide long non-coding RNA. RefSeq lists it as uncharacterized. The record is from RefSeq and is a predicted model, not a curated record. The transcript has 3 exons. NCBI's taxonomy places the organism in Eukaryota, Metazoa, Chordata, Aves, Passeriformes, Passeridae.